RNAcentral lists this transfer RNA (74 nucleotides) under Streptomyces mutabilis. Lineage: Bacteria; Bacillati; Actinomycetota; Actinomycetes; Kitasatosporales; Streptomycetaceae. The record is from RNAcentral.
GGGGUCACCGCGCUCACCGUCGACCACCACCGGGGCAGCGAGGAGCAGCAGCCGGGCUGGGAGUACCACGACCC